Molecule: ribosomal RNA, 572 nt
Filed under: uncultured soil bacterium
Lineage: Bacteria
Description: bacterial SSU rRNA
Rfam family: Bacterial small subunit ribosomal RNA
Source: RNAcentral
CCCCGCACAAGCGGCGGAAGCAUGCGGAAUUAAUUCGAUGCAACGCGAAGACCNUUACCAAAGGCUUGACAUGGACCGGNCCGCCGCAGAGAUGUGGUUUCUCCUUUUGGGGCCGGUUCACAGGUGGUGCAUGGUUGUCGUCAGCUCGUGUCGUNANAUGUUGGGUUAAGUCCCGCAACGAGCGCAACCCUCGUUCCAUGUUGCCAGCGCGUAAUGGCGGGGACUCAUGGGAGACUGCCGGGGUCAACUCGGAGGAAGGUGGGGACGACGUCAAAUCAUCAUGCCCCUUAUGUCUUGGGCUUCACGCAUGCUACAAUGGCCGGUACAAAGGGUUGCGAUACUGUGAGGUGGAGCUAAUCCCAAAAAGCCGGUCUCAGUUCGGAUUGGGGUCUGCAACUCGACCCCAUGAAGUCGGAGUCGCUAGUAAUCGCAGAUCAGCAACGCUGCGGUGAAUACGUUCCCGGGCCUUGUACACACCGCCCGUCAAGUCACGAAAGUUGGUAACACCCGAAGCCGGUGGCCUAACCCCUUGNGGGAGGGAGCCGUCGAAGGUGGGACUGGCGAUUGGGACU